Long non-coding RNA from Hemicordylus capensis (graceful crag lizard), 2714 nucleotides. RefSeq lists it as uncharacterized. The record is from RefSeq and is a predicted model, not a curated record. Lineage: Eukaryota; Metazoa; Chordata; Lepidosauria; Squamata; Cordylidae. The transcript is spliced from 4 exons.
CAUUUCCCCACCUCCUGCUCUUCAAAAUUCUGCAUGUGGCUGAGGAGCUGUUCCUUGUGGCCUCUGUGUGGUGUCGGCAUGCACAUGGCAUGCAUCCAGCCACGUGCAGAGGCUGCAGGGAACAGCACCGCCGCUGUGCGUGAUGUUUUGGAGAGCGGGCACCACUGCCAGAACAGCAGAGCGGGAAGGAGCAGGUAAGGAGCUUCUUACUUGAUUGUAAACGGAACUGCUUCCCGCCCCGCCGAGCCAGUUCGAACCCUGGCACCCGAGCAGGUUCGGCGCUUCCCAAAGGAAGUGCUGAACCAGCUUGUGUACAUCUCUAGAUCCAGUAGGGCCAGCACAAUAUUGAUUCAUCAUAAGGGUGCCCCCCAUAACUAUUAUUGUCUUGGAUCCUGUAAAAUCCAGAGAUCUAGUCUUCCUGGUCCUAGGAAUUUUGGUGCUUUAGGUGAAGUAUGACUUUGGUGCUUCCCCCUACACAUUCAUGUGCAUUGGCCAGGUUAGCUUGUGGGGGAGUGGGGAAGAUAGGGUGUGCGGUAGAGUGGACUUCACGUGGAGCUGGAGAGCAGCAAGGGACAACAGUGGCAGAUUUAUGGAUUUUGAAAGGUAUAACCUCCUUUCUCACCACACCCUCGCUCCCAGCCAAUGCUGCCCUAGCUGCCAUGCAAAUGGAGGCUAUUCGCGGUGGGGGCAGUUGUGCCUGCCCCUGCCCUGCAAAGCUCCCCCCCCCAUUGGUGCCCAAGACAAUCACCUAGGUCCAGCUAGUGGACAGGCCAGCCCUGGCUUCUAGAUAAUUUUGCAAAGGAUUGCAGCCCAAGUCUUUUUUUCUGCUCAGGUGACUCCAACCUCUGCUAACUGGGCAAAGAGGCACCUUUUACUGUGGUGAUUCUCUUUAUUUAGCAGGGGGAGAGUACUUCCAGUGACUGUUGCUGGUGUCUAUCUUAUGUUUCGUUUUAGAAUGUGAGCCCUUUGGGGACAGGGAACCAUCUUAUUUAUUUAUUAUUUCUCUGUGUAAACCGCCCUGAGCUAUUUUUGGAAGGGCGGUAUAGAAAUCGAAAUAAUAAUAAUAAUAAUAAUAAUAAUAAUAAUAAUAAUAAUAAUAACAAUUAAAAAUAAAUAAAUAAACAACAUGGAGAAAUGUGAAGUCAUGUGUAGUCUCUUGUCUAUGUACUGACAUAGGCUUUUCAGAGAGCUAGAGGUGGUUUUGCAGAGCUGUUGUUGCCUGCUUAUUUUUGUACCCCAUCAUGUUCUCUUGUCCAAAUGGUUUUGCAGGCAUGUGUAUCACUUUGUGCAGUACCUAGAAAGCCACAGCUUGAGCUAACUCCCAGCAGUGUAAUCAGCACAAAAUGAGCAUAAAAGGGUCAUGAAUACAAAGUGAAUUUACUUAGUAAAUUAAAUCUUCACAGUAGUUUGCUUAGUUAUUCAAAAAGCUGCAACAUCAAUAAUUUAAGGUACAACAAGAAAGUCGGCAACACAAAAUAUUUUUUCUGUUGAAGAAGAUGCUUUAGUUCUUUUCAGUACUUCUAAAUGGCAGGGAUGUGUUUUAGCUGUGCCCAAAAGGUAAAUAUAAAGGUGGGCUGUAAAUUCUAUUAUUAUGGUUACUGUGAUUUAUUUUCACUAUGUAUAAAGCAUUUCUUCCUUAUUACUCUUCCAAGAUUUGCAUAAUAAAUCUACAUUACUGAAGUAAAGAGAUAUUGGCUGACAUGAAGGACAGCAUUCUGGCAUUGGAAUGCUCCGUGCUGGGUCUGCGGCAGACUCAUAAGGCAGCUCCAAGCUUUUGAGAAUGAGCAGUUGCUAGCUGAGGGUGUGUACAGUGCAGACGCCAGAACUGACCACGGACAUGGCCGCUACGCAAGCUCGGUGGCCAUGUGCAUCCCACCACUGCACGCAGGCUGCUGGGUGAAGUCCUGCGGCCAUGCAUAGACUUCUGAGCAGUGCAGCACCACGCCCGGAAAAGCGGCGGGGCAGCAGAGGAGCAAGCAAGGACCUGCUUUAUUCAUGCUUAAAGUUAAGGUUGGCUUCCUGUUCAAUUACUUAUACAGGAUAAGUAAUAUCUCUGCAAUAUUGGGUUAUGGGCCCAUUUGUGAAGCAAUAAGUUGUGAGAUAACAAAGAGUCUGUAGACAAGACAGCUGGACAAGAUGACUAUUUUUGCAUCUGUGGGAAGGCAUCCCGCAGUUGCUGAAUGAAAUAAACUACAGAAAAUGGUCCUUCAGAGUGAAGAUGUUGCUGAAUACACCUGGACUGUCUUAUGUUCUGGAGGAACAAAGACCAACAGAGAAAGAAAAGAAAUUGUGAGAGUGGGAUUCUGCAAACAAGCAAGCCAAGGGGCACAUAUAUCUGACUAUGUUUUCUAUUGUGUGGUUGGGAGUCGCCCAGAGAACCAUUUGUUACGAGGUGGAUAACAAAUAAAAUUGGCUUUAUUAAGAAGAAGAAGAAGAAGAAGAAGAUGAUGAUGAUGAUGCACAAUUACUUUAAAGCACUACAAGGCAGCAGUGCAGCACUCCUUUCCGUCGUUUCCAUACAGCCCGCCACUAUUUGUCUCAUUAACAAUAGCUUUUGGCUGUGAUUUGGGGACCCUAUGAUCCCAAUGGCAUCAAAAAGCUCCCUCAUGCAAAUGAGUUAGUGUUUCUGCAUUUAAUUGAAAAUCUCAGCAGCGUUGUAAAACUGUACCCAUAUGCAGAGAUCUAAUAAAUAACACACUAGAUAUUAAAUUCUA